Long non-coding RNA from Centrocercus urophasianus (Greater sage-grouse), 2452 nucleotides. RefSeq lists it as uncharacterized. NCBI's taxonomy places the organism in Eukaryota, Metazoa, Chordata, Aves, Galliformes, Phasianidae. The transcript is spliced from 3 exons. The record is from RefSeq and is a predicted model, not a curated record.
GGCAGCCUACAAACAGGAGGGAAAUCAACUCUUUGAAAGGAAUCUGAAAUCUACGGCUGAGCGAUGGUGGAUCCAGUUCAGAACCUCGGUGACUUCUUCGGCUGCAAUAUGCAGAAAGUGGUAGGACAUAUUUGGCAACACAGCAUCUUGCAGUUUACAGUACGUGUGCAUUACGGGUAUCUGGGCUUUGUUUUCCUGAAAGCGAUAGCAGGCCUGGAAUGGUGCGUUCACACCAUCUACACGGCUAGAGCAAAGGAGAACACACACGUACAAUGGCAAAAGAAGUCUCAACUAUCACAAGUUGCUCUCUACUACCGUUAGAAUUAGCACCUUUCGCCUUUAAAUGCAGCAGCAGAGCCAACCCAGACGCCCAGGUCCUGAUGCACGACAAUGGAGUGGACAAAAGAAGGGGCACAAACAUUCAGAAUUGCAAUGGACCGUUCCCACCAAGCUGUCAACACGCGGAAAGACAAGCUCUCCAAACUGGCACACUGUAUGUAACAAGCCAGUUCUGGAAAGCACGAGGACGAACUCUGCAAACAGUAUUUUAUUUACUAUCAGGGGUUUGACAGCAUUGCUGUUUCUGCUGUGCACUGCAGUCGAAACGUUUCUUUUAUUGACACGCAGGAAACCUCCACUGCUUCAGAUUGCAAGGCACCUGUCAGCUACAGCAGCGCUGUCAGUACAGAAUUCCAACCAGUUGCUAGGCUGCUUGUCUUUUAGGAUGUGAUUUCAUCUGGAAGCAGGCUCUGAAAUGUGGCUCUCGGCUCACCCUGUUACACAGACGAUUGGCUGCGCUCUGGUUCAGGUGUUAGCUCACAUACUGCUUCUAAUCAGCAGCUAUUUCUGAGAAUAUUGAAUUCAUUUAUUGGUGAGUGACUUACUUAUAGAAUUCAAAUCAGAAUGUUUUGAACAGAAGAAGCUGUUGUUUUUAAAACAAACAAACAAACAAACAAACAAAACACACUACAAUAUUGUUGCUUUUUUAAUGUUUGGAAUAUGCUGCUGUAAACGUGUCUUCUAUCAGCGGCGGAAGCUUGGUGCUUGGAGAGAUACUUCUUUUACUUAGUAUAAAAUACUUAGGUAUCAUACAACUAACUAUUUUGCUUAAAAAAAAAAAAAAAUUCCAGUGAGGAGGGUCAUACAAGCUUUAUAACGAAAACCAAGGGGUAAGAUUUUCUUUUCAAUGAAGGAUAGCACUGGGUUUGUCUCAUUUCACGAAGAAAUUUGGGCCUACGGACAGCCGUGGGAGAUUCCUAUGGGAAAAGGCUGUAAAACUACAGUUGUUAGAAGGAGAAUGUUAAACAAGAAUUAGAACUGUCUCGUUAAUGUCUCACUAGAAAAAUAAUGUAUUAGUUUUCACAGACUGGCAGAAAGAGUUUUCAGUUUGGGAAGAUAAGGUUUGGUUUGUUUCAUUUGCCGUGGUGGCACUUAGCAGCAAUUGCUUUGUUCUAGCACAUCCUGAGCUAUUUGAUACAUCUUUUCUCUCCACUUCCAGUGAAAGUUUUUUAUUUUGGUUACUCGUAAACAAUUACGGUUACUUGGUUUGGAGUUGUGGCUUUUGGUGCUGGGCUGGCUUGCAGUUGUUUUUUUUUUUUUUUUUUUUUUGCAAAGUAAUGAUUUUAAAGGAAGCCUAGAGCAGUACAGUUUUUUGCUGAAGGUUAUUUUAAGUGUAAGUAAUUGGUAGCUAGAAUAAUGUUUUCUAGGACUGCCAUAACAUUGUGGCUUUUACAUUUUUUUUUCCGGUGGGUUUGCUUAACUCUCUGCUUGUGACGUUUUGAAAAGCAAAAAAUGGAAAGUCGGCCUGUUCUCUGCUGCUGAAUUCCAGUUCCCCCUCUUCUUACAAUGAUGAUGCCUUUUGAUAACGGUUCUUGAAAGAGCUGAAACUGAGAAAAUUUAACUUAGUAGAAAUUGACAAUUAGUUCUCUUCAUUUCCCCCGCUAAUGAAUUCCAAAACUAUACUAAAUUAGACGAUGGCAUUGGGAAUCAAACAAUUGUAGCCGUAACGUGUCUGAGACAGCGAGGUAGGAUAGGAGCCACUCCCAAAUGGAGCUGUUUUGUCCUGCUGGCUCGGCUGAACAGCGUACACGGCGGUGUGACAACACCACAGAAUCUCCCCCGCCUCGAGUCAGCGUCACUUCUUUUCACACAAAUCAAGACCAUCUCUCCAUCUACCACAGCUGUUCGAGAGACCUGAGUUGGUGUGCUGUUAGCCAUUAAACUAAUGCAACCAUUCUUAGACACUGUAAGGAAGAACAAGCUUCAGUGUCAGUUACCUUUACGCCGUGAGCGACAGUAAGCAGAGAGUCGAUGUGAUUUUGUUCUUGUCUCACGGUUCGUUCAUCCUCAAGUGAGAUACCUGGCAUUAGUUUUAAUGUCAAAGUACAAAGUAUACUGCUACGUGAAAAUUAGGUUCGGUAACGUUAAAGUCUAAGCCACGGAAUUUCCAAAA